Molecule: ribosomal RNA, 484 nt
Filed under: Pseudomonas fragi
Lineage: Bacteria; Pseudomonadati; Pseudomonadota; Gammaproteobacteria; Pseudomonadales; Pseudomonadaceae
Description: bacterial SSU rRNA
Rfam family: Bacterial small subunit ribosomal RNA
Source: RNAcentral
AUUGAACGCUGGCGGCAGGCCUAACACAUGCAAGUCGAGCGGUAGAGAGAAGCUUGCUUCUCUUGAGAGCGGCGGACGGGUGAGUAAUACCUAGGAAUCUGCCUGAUAGUGGGGGAUAACGUUCGGAAACGGACGCUAAUACCGCAUACGUCCUACGGGAGAAAGCAGGGGACCUUCGGGCCUUGCGCUAUCAGAUGAGCCUAGGUCGGAUUAGCUAGUUGGUGAGGUAAUGGCUCACCAAGGCUACGAUCCGUAACUGGUCUGAGAGGAUGAUCAGUCACACUGGAACUGAGACACGGUCCAGACUCCUACGGGAGGCAGCAGUGGGGAAUAUUGGACAAUGGGCGAAAGCCUGAUCCAGCCAUGCCGCGUGUGUGAAGAAGGUCUUCGGAUUGUAAAGCACUUUAAGUUGGGAGGAAGGGCAUUAACCUAAUACGUUAGUGUCUUGACGUUACCGACAGAAUAAGCACCGGCUAACUCUGUG